Long non-coding RNA from Gadus morhua (Atlantic cod), 1406 nucleotides. The record is from Ensembl. NCBI's taxonomy places the organism in Eukaryota, Metazoa, Chordata, Actinopteri, Gadiformes, Gadidae.
GCCUGCCCGUAAUUCCGACGCCUCAUUGUUCCGACGUCUCAAUGUUCCGAAAUAUUUCCCAUUAGAUCGACAUGCCACUAUUCCGACGGUUCAAUGUUCCGAAAACGAAACCCAUUGGUCCGAAGGUCCGUUAGUCCGACUUUUGAAAAAGGAGGCGCAUUAGGCCGACGGUUCAAUAUGCUGAAUAGGAAAAAGAGUUGUAUACCUCGCUCGCUCCCUCUCUCUCUCACUCUCACUCUGUGUGUGUGUGUGUGUGUGUGUGUGUGUGUGUGUGUGUGUGUGUGUGUGUGUGUGUGUCUUUAUCACUAUUUGGGGAACAAAACCUGACAGCACACUCACGGUAUGGGGAACAAAAUUCUUGUGGGGAACAAAAACCAGGACCCCACCAGGGAAAUCAUUGAAAUGGAUAGGACUGACGUUGCUGAUAUGACUAGUGCAAAAAUUUGAAUGAAAAAAAAAAAACCCACACUUCACAAAAACCUGCAAAUGUGUGUUUGAGUGUGUUUGAGGCUGGCCCUCUACAGACUAAAGAAGGGUACUGCAGGUUCACUUUUUCGCUCUAAAAACACACACUCCACACACUCCAUCCACCAAUCAAACGCUGACCUGCCUGUCACGUGAGAUGAUCACUUCGUCCACCAAUCAAACGCUGACCUAACUGCACGUGAGAUCAUCCACAUUGGCGGGAGAUGAGAGGCGCCAUACUUCGACGAAAAGUCAAGACAAAGGCAAAAUGGCGAGAAGAAGGGCAACCCCUCAGCAUAUUGCAGAACAACAUGCCAUCAGUGCCACAGACCAGACUGCCAUGUUAGAGGUGAAAUACAUAAACUCCACCAAAGGCAGGGGUGUGUUUGCUCUGUCCCCUUUUGAAAAGGGGGAUUUUGUAGUUGAAUACAGAGGAGAAAUUAUUGACUUUAAGGAAUCAGAGAGAAGGAGGAGGAUUUAUCAUUCCAAAUGCUUGGUGUUCGUGUUUGACUUCAUGUGGCAUGGCAAAAAAUGGUGGUAAUCAUUUACUGUAUGGUGGCUGGUAGCUUGCAAUGUUCAGUACAUAAUCUUGGCCUAAUUGUCCUGCUUGACUAAGCCAUUAGCGUGAUUCUUUUUGUCUCCUUUGAAGCGUUGAUGCUGCGUUGGAAGAUGACUCAUUUGGAAGACUGGUCAAUGAUGAUCAUGUCCAUCCUACCAGCAGGAUGAAAAGAAUUUUAGUUGGUGGAAAACCACACCUCUGUCUGUUUGCUGCGAGAGACAUAAACAGAGGAGAGGAAAUAACAUAUGACUAUGGAGAUAGCAGUUGGCCAUGGAGAGAAAAGGUUUGUCAGUGACUAUAAGCCUCUGUAUAGUAUGCUUUAUCUAAUAUAUACGUCAACAUCUUUCGACUAACUGCUGCCCUUUUGACCAGGUGACCCUUG